RNAcentral lists this small nuclear RNA (119 nucleotides) under Crocodylus porosus (Australian saltwater crocodile). RNAcentral describes it as "U2 spliceosomal RNA (ENSCPRG00005014060.1)". It matches the Rfam family "U2 spliceosomal RNA", at positions 67 to 185 of the family's 192-position model. Rfam says of the family: U2 is a small nuclear RNA (snRNA) component of the spliceosome (involved in pre-mRNA splicing). Lineage: Eukaryota; Metazoa; Chordata; Crocodylia; Crocodylidae. The record is from RNAcentral.
UGUCCUCCAUAGGAGGUCUAUAUUGAGCAGAUUCUUUUUGGUAUUGGGUGGUGGAACCGGAGCGUGCUCCAUCCACUCCAUGCAUUGACCUAGUAUUGCAGUACUUCCAGGACCGGUGC